AGCCGGAUAGCUCAGUGGGAGAGCGUCUGCUUUACACGCAGAGGGUCCAGGGUUCAAAUCCCUGUCCGGCUACCA
This 75-nucleotide transfer RNA is filed under the name Deltaproteobacteria bacterium. RNAcentral describes it as "tRNA-Val". It matches the Rfam family "tRNA". Rfam says of the family: Transfer RNA (tRNA) molecules are approximately 80 nucleotides in length. Their secondary structure includes four short double-helical elements and three loops (D, anti-codon, and T loops). Lineage: Bacteria; Pseudomonadati; Myxococcota; Myxococcia. The record is from RNAcentral.